This 124-nucleotide ribosomal RNA is filed under the name Sinomonas sp. ASV322. RNAcentral describes it as "partial 16S ribosomal RNA". It matches the Rfam family "Bacterial small subunit ribosomal RNA", at positions 1 to 125 of the family's 1533-position model. Lineage: Bacteria; Bacillati; Actinomycetota; Actinomycetes; Micrococcales; Micrococcaceae. The record is from RNAcentral.
UUGACGGAGAGUUUGAUCCUGGCUCAGGAUGAACGCUGGCGGCGUGCUUAACACAUGCAAGUCGGACGAUGAUGUGCCUUCGGGUGCGGAUUAGUGGCGAACGGGUGAGUAACACGUGAGCAAC